AUGCCAAAAAAAGGGAGCCCGGUGCACAUAGCUCCCACUUGUGCAGGGUCCAGGGAAGGGUCGGACCACUUUGGUCUGUCAAUAGAUAAUUGCCCGUGCAUUGAAGGGCAAUGCCAAGCUAACAAAAAACAAUCAGUUCACUCGAUCCAGCUUUGCUGCUUGCCACCGCCGCUGCUUGCUCUCUGCUACUUACGCUGCUUGCCACCCCAGCCGUUCCCUGCCCGAUGCUGCUGCUGCCCAGGUGUGGCCACCACCGGCCGGCUGGCUACUGCCCCUUUCGCCGCCGCCGGAAGACAGAUAGGGAGACGAGCCAACCGUCACGCGAUCUGA
This 330-nucleotide ribosomal RNA is filed under the name Triticum aestivum (bread wheat). Its description in RNAcentral is "partial small subunit ribosomal RNA". The record is from RNAcentral. Lineage: Eukaryota; Viridiplantae; Streptophyta; Magnoliopsida; Poales; Poaceae.